UACGUAGGGUGCGAGCGUUGUCCAGAUUUAUUGGGCGUAAAGAGCUCGUAGGCGGCUUGUCGCGUCGUCCGUGAAAACCUGCAGCUCAACUGCAGGCUUGCGGUCGAUACGGGCAGGCUGGAGUUCGGUAGGGGAGACUGGAAUUCCUGGUGUAGCGGUGAAAUGCGCAGAUAUCAGGAGGAACACCGAUGGCGAAGGCAGGUCUCUGGGCUAUAACUGACGCUGAGAAGCGAAAGCAUGGGGAGCGAACAGG
RNAcentral lists this ribosomal RNA (253 nucleotides) under uncultured bacterium. RNAcentral describes it as "partial 16S ribosomal RNA". It matches the Rfam family "Bacterial small subunit ribosomal RNA", at positions 524 to 776 of the family's 1533-position model. The record is from RNAcentral.